GUUUGGUCACUGACCGCUUCCUGCAGUUACCCAAACAGUUCUUCUUUCAGUGAGGCCCACAGGGAUGUUACUGACCUGUGAACUGUCAGUGAGCCAGCAACUGAACUUGAAGCACAGCUGACUAUAUUGGCCUAACAUUGUAACGUCACUUUAAAUUAUGUUUAACCCCUUAAUGUCUGAUCAGAAGAGUAAAUCUAAAACGUUAACCCCUUACUAUCUGAUCAGAAAACAAAUCUAAUGUUUAACCCCUUACUGUCUUAUCAGAACACAAAUCUAAUGUUUAACCCCUUACUGUCUGAUCAAAAGAGUAAAUCUAAAACGUUAACCCCUUACUGUAUGAUCAGAAAACAAAUCUAAUGUUUAACCUCUUAUUAUCUGAUCAGAAAAAAAUCUAAUGUUUAACCCCUUAUUAUCUGAUCAGAGGAGCAAAUCUAAUGUUUGACCCCUUACUGUCUGAUCAGAAAACAAAUCAGAAAACAAAUCUAUUGUGGGCUAUGAUAUUAACCCCCCUGCCUGAUCUAUGAUAUUAU
Molecule: non-coding RNA, 530 nt
Organism: Pelobates cultripes (western spadefoot toad)
Lineage: Eukaryota; Metazoa; Chordata; Amphibia; Anura; Pelobatidae
Source: the annotation of a GenBank genome assembly